This 74-nucleotide transfer RNA is filed under the name Schistosoma mansoni. It matches the Rfam family "tRNA". Rfam says of the family: Transfer RNA (tRNA) molecules are approximately 80 nucleotides in length. Their secondary structure includes four short double-helical elements and three loops (D, anti-codon, and T loops). The record is from RNAcentral. Lineage: Eukaryota; Metazoa; Platyhelminthes; Trematoda; Strigeidida; Schistosomatidae.
AUGAUUAUGUAGCUUAAUGGUUAUAGCAUUUGGCUUUCAACCAUUAAGUCACAAGUUCAAUUCAUAUUUCUCUU